GCAGCCUGAUGCAGCGACGCCGCGUGAGGGAUGACGGCCUUCGGGUUGUAAACCUCUUUCAAUAGGGACGAAGCGCAAGUGACGGUACCUAUAGAAGAAGGACCGGCCAACUACGUGCCAGCAGCCGCGGUAAUACGUAGGGUCCGAGCGUUGUCCGGAAUUACUGGGCGUAAAGAGCUCGUAGGUGGUUUGUCGCGUUGUUCGUGAAAACUCACAGCUCAACUGUGGGCGUGCGGGCGAUACGGGCAGACUAGAGUACUGCAGGGGAGACUGGAAUUCCUGGUGUAGCGGUGGAAUGCGCAGAUAUCAGGAGGAACACCGGUGGCGAAGGCGGGUCUCUGGGCAGUAACUGACGCUGAGGAGCGAAAGCGUGGGGAGCGAACAGGAUUAGAUACCCUGGUAGUCCACGCCGUAAACGGUGGGUACUAGGUGUGGGUUUCCUUCCUUGGGAUCCGUGCCGUAGCUAACGCAUUAAGUACCCCGCCUGGGGAGUACGGCCGCAAGGCUAAAACUCAAAGAAAUUGACGGGGGCCCGCACAAGCGGCGGAGCAUGUGGAUUAAUUCGAUGCAACGCGAAGAACCUUACCUGGGUUUGACAUGCACAGGACGCCGGCAGAGAUGUCGGUUCCCUUGUGGC
Molecule: ribosomal RNA, 637 nt
Filed under: Mycobacterium sp. So1Ps_715
Lineage: Bacteria; Bacillati; Actinomycetota; Actinomycetes; Mycobacteriales; Mycobacteriaceae
Also listed under: 2 other names
Description: bacterial SSU rRNA
Rfam family: Bacterial small subunit ribosomal RNA
Source: RNAcentral